UACGGAGGGUGCGAACGUUAAUCGGAAUCACUGGGCGUAAAGCGCGCGUAGGCGGUUUGUUAAGUGGGAUGUGAAAGCCCCGGGCUUAACCUGGGAAUUGCAUUUCAAACUGGCGAACUAGAGUGCGGUAGAGGGAGGUAGAAUUUCCUGUGUAGCGGUGAAAUGCGUAGAUAUAGGAAGGAAUACCAGUGGCGAAGGCGGCCUCCUGGAUCGACACUGACGCUAAGGCGGCGAAAAGCGUGGGGAGCAAACAGG
RNAcentral lists this ribosomal RNA (255 nucleotides) under uncultured bacterium. RNAcentral describes it as "partial 16S ribosomal RNA". It matches the Rfam family "Bacterial small subunit ribosomal RNA", at positions 524 to 776 of the family's 1533-position model. The record is from RNAcentral.